CUAGGUUAUCCAACUAAUACUACCGUGUUGCUGUGAGAUGUUGGAGAAAAACAAGCAAGCUUGCUAUGUCCUUGCGAGAUGCACGGAGGACACCAUGGUGGCCAUUGAGGCAAACAUCGUUCCUUCCGCUCCGCACGGCCGAUGGAUCCGUUGUUGACUUUGUGACGAGGGAAAUACUUCCUUGACAGUAGUAGCAGGUUUUGAGGACAGGAACAAGUGU
This 220-nucleotide long non-coding RNA is filed under the name Setaria viridis. RNAcentral describes it as "long non-coding RNA (SVIR_LNC000065)". Lineage: Eukaryota; Viridiplantae; Streptophyta; Magnoliopsida; Poales; Poaceae. The record is from RNAcentral.